Molecule: ribosomal RNA, 253 nt
Filed under: uncultured bacterium
Lineage: Bacteria
Description: partial 16S ribosomal RNA
Rfam family: Bacterial small subunit ribosomal RNA
Source: RNAcentral
UACAGAGGUGGCAAGCGUUGUUCGGAAUUACUGGGCGUAAAGGGCGCGUAGGCGGCCUUCUAAGUCAGACGUGAAAUCCCCCGGCUUAACCUGGGAACUGCGUCUGAUACUGGGGGGCUUGAGUAUGGGAGAGGGAUGUAGAAUUCCAGGUGUAGCGGUGAAAUGCGUAGAUAUCUGGAGGAACACCGGUGGCGAAGGCGACAUCCUGGACCGGUAUUGACGCUGAGGCGCGAAAGCCAGGGGAGCAAACGGG